CAAAUACUCCCUCCGUCCGGAAAUACUUGUCAUCAAAAUGGAUAAAAGAAAAUAUAUCUAGACGUUUUUAUCCAUUUUGAUGACAAGUAUUUCCGGACAGAGGAAGUAGAAA
Molecule: non-coding RNA, 112 nt
Organism: Triticum urartu
Lineage: Eukaryota; Viridiplantae; Streptophyta; Magnoliopsida; Poales; Poaceae
Source: Rfam